CCUGAAUUCGAAAGGGGUUGGAUUCAGAUCUUACCGUUCGUAUACUAGGCGGCCCCGCUGCAGAUGGUGCCGGUCGCCCGCGGCGAUUAAUUUCGCUUGCGGUGUCGUUUCUGGCGUCCACUCGGUGGUGUGCUGGCCAUCUUCACGGAGGGUCGCACUUCUCCCCUAGUAGAAACGUCGCGACCCGUUGGGUGCCGGCCGAAGGCCUGGGAAGGUAGCCCGCGCGUCCUGUGGUGUUCGCCACAGGCGCGCGGACUCCCGGUGACCCGGCCGGCUGCCCGACGGUAUGACCAGAGGAGCCGAUCCGCUGAAUGGGAAACACUGUGGUUUGUGAAGCGUGCGGCCUGGCGCCGAUACGUGCGGGGAUUGAGGUGUAAACCGGGGGUACCCGUGCGAAGCACGGUCCCGGCCCCGCUGCGUCUUCGGUUGCCGGUGUCCUCGCACUGGAUCGAUACUCCCGUCUGCGACGCCCAUCUUCGGAUGGUCUCCCG
RNAcentral lists this ribosomal RNA (491 nucleotides) under Phyllium philippinicum. Its description in RNAcentral is "partial large subunit ribosomal RNA". The record is from RNAcentral. Lineage: Eukaryota; Metazoa; Arthropoda; Insecta; Phasmatodea; Phylliidae.